GUGCCUGCAUCAGCAGCACACACACUAAAACUGAGACCAUACAGGGAAGAUUAUCAUGGCCCUGCACAAGGGUGACACCCAGACUCGUGAAGAAUUCCCCUUUUUU
This is a small nuclear RNA of Phyllostomus discolor (pale spear-nosed bat), 106 nucleotides long. The record is from RefSeq and is a predicted model, not a curated record. NCBI's taxonomy places the organism in Eukaryota, Metazoa, Chordata, Mammalia, Chiroptera, Phyllostomidae.